This 764-nucleotide ribosomal RNA is filed under the name bacterium. RNAcentral's name for it is "bacterial SSU rRNA". It matches the Rfam family "Bacterial small subunit ribosomal RNA", at positions 84 to 859 of the family's 1533-position model. The record is from RNAcentral.
GGGGUACUCGAGUGGCGAACGGGUGAGUAACACGUGGGNGAUCUGCCCUGCACUUUGGGAUAAGCCUGGGAAACUGGGUCUAAUNNCCGAAUAGGAUCAUGGCCUGCAUGGGUUGUGGUGGAAAGCUUUUGCGGUGUGGGAUGGGCCCGCGGCCUAUCAGCUUGUUGGUGGGGUAAUGGCCUACCAAGGCGACGACGGGUAGCCGGCCUGAGAGGGNGNCCGGCCACACUGGGACUGAGAUACGGCCCAGACUCCUACGGGAGGCAGCAGUGGGGAAUAUUGCACAAUGGGCGCAAGCCUGAUGCAGCGACGCCGCGUGAGGGAUGACGGCCUUCGGGUUGUAAACCUCUUUCAGUAGGGACGAAGCGCAAGUGACGGUACCUAUAGAAGAAGGACCGGCCAACUACGUGCCAGCAGCCGCGGUAAUACGUAGGGUCCGAGCGUUGUCCGGAAUUACUGGGCGUAAAGAGCUCGUAGGUGGUUUGUCGCGUUGUUCGUGAAAACUCACAGCUCAACUGUGGGCGUGCGGGCGAUACGGGCAGACUUGAGUACUGCAGGGGAGACUGGAAUUCCUGGUGUAGCGGUGGAAUGCGCAGAUAUCAGGAGGAACACCGGUGGCGAAGGCGGGUCUCUGGGCAGUAACUGACGCUGAGGAGCGAAAGCGUGGGGAGCGAACAGGAUUAGAUACCCUGGUAGUCCACGCCGUAAACGGUGGGUACUAGGUGUGGGUUUCCUUCCUUGGGAUCCGUGCCGUAGCUAACGCA